AUACGUAGGUGGCGAGCGUUGUCCGGAAUUACUGGGUGUAAAGGGCGUGUAGGCGGGGAUGCAAGUCAGAUGUGAAAUACCAUGGCUCAACUGUGGGGGUGCAUCUGAAACUGUGUUUCUUGAGUGCUGGAGAGGAAAGCGGAAUUCCUAGUGUAGCGGUGAAAUGCGUAGAUAUUAGGAGGAACACCAGUGGCGAAGGCGGCUUUCUGGACAGUAACUGACGCUGAGGCGCGAAAGCGUGGGGAGCAAACAGGAUUAGAUACCCUGGUAGUCCACGCCGUAAACGAUGGAUACUAGGUGUAGGAGGUAUCGACCCCUUCUGUGCCGGAGUUAACACAAUAAGUAUCCCACCUGGGGAGUACGGUCGCAAGACUGAA
RNAcentral lists this ribosomal RNA (377 nucleotides) under uncultured bacterium. RNAcentral describes it as "bacterial SSU rRNA". It matches the Rfam family "Bacterial small subunit ribosomal RNA", at positions 523 to 898 of the family's 1533-position model. The record is from RNAcentral.